AGCUCCAAUAGCGUAUACUAACGUUGUUGCAGUUAAAGCUCGUAGUUGGAUUUUAAGGGUGUCUGCUCCAAGUGGCCUUUAGUGCCUCUCAGGUGCCGACUCCCCUUAUUUGCGCCAGUGCUUGGUUGGGAUUUGCUUUCUGAUCAUGCUUCAGGCGCGUGUUUACUUUGAGAAAAUUAGAGUGUUCAAACAGUCUUCUUGAUUGUAUAUCAUAGCAUGGAAUAAUAACUGAUGACCUCGGUCAUUUUGUGUUGGUUCGGAUGGCUGAAGUAAUGAUUGAUAGAGUUAGUCGGAGGUAUUAGUAUUUUGUCGUUAGAGGUGAAAUUCAUGGAUCGGCAAAAGACUAACAACUGCGAAAGCAUUUAUCUAGGAUUUGCUCU
RNAcentral lists this ribosomal RNA (380 nucleotides) under uncultured eukaryote. Its description in RNAcentral is "SSU rRNA". It matches the Rfam family "Eukaryotic small subunit ribosomal RNA", at positions 587 to 972 of the family's 1831-position model. The record is from RNAcentral.